AUUGAACGCUGGCGGCAGGCCUAACACAUGCAAGUCGAACGAGUGGCGGACGGGUGAGUAAUGCCUGGGAAACUGCCCGAUGGCGGGGGAUAAAUAUUGGAAACGGUAGCUAAUACCGCUAACUAUAGGCUGUGACCAGUUGGGAUGAGCUUGUAGGUGUGGUAACGGCUUACCUAGCCGACGAGCCCUAGCUGGUCGGAGCGGAUGACCAGCCACACUGGAACUGAUACACGGUCCAUACUCCUACGGGAGGCAGCAGUGGGGAAUAUUGCACAAUGGGCGCAAGCCUGAUGCAGCCAUGCCGCGUGUAUGAAGAAGGCCUUCGGGUUGUAAAGUACUUUCAUCGGGGAGGCGUUACCCGCAGAAGAAGCACCGGCUAACUCCGUGCCAGCCGCCGCGGUAAUAC
RNAcentral lists this ribosomal RNA (406 nucleotides) under uncultured bacterium. Its description in RNAcentral is "partial 16S ribosomal RNA". It matches the Rfam family "Bacterial small subunit ribosomal RNA", at positions 30 to 526 of the family's 1533-position model. The record is from RNAcentral.